CAGUCGCCACGGUAAUACAGAGGGUGCGAGCGUUAAUCGGAUUUACUGGGCGUAAAGCGUGCGUAGGCGGCUUUUUAAGUCGGAUGUGAAAUCCCUGAGCUUAACUUAGGAAUUGCAUUCGAUACUGGGAAGCUAGAGUAUGGGAGAGGAUGGUAGAAUUCCAGGUGUAGCGGUGAAAUGCGUAGAGAUCUGGAGGAAUACCGAUGGCGAAGGCAGCCCCCUGGGCCAAUACUGACGCUCAUGCACGAAAGCGUGGGGAGCAAACAGGAUUAGAUACCCCAGUAGUCCCUGUCUCUUAUAC
This 301-nucleotide ribosomal RNA is filed under the name uncultured bacterium. RNAcentral's name for it is "partial 16S ribosomal RNA". It matches the Rfam family "Bacterial small subunit ribosomal RNA", at positions 509 to 807 of the family's 1533-position model. The record is from RNAcentral.